GAGGAACCUGCCUUGGAGAGGGGAAUAACACUCCGAAAGGAGUGCUAAUACCGCAUGAUGCAGUUGGGUCGCAUGGCUCUGACUGCCAAAGAUUUAUCGCUCUGAGAUGGCCUCGCGUCUGAUUAGCUAGUAGGCGGGGUAACGGCCCACCUAGGCGACGAUCAGUAGCCGGACUGAGAGGUUGACCGGCCACAUUGGGACUGAGACACGGCCCAGACUCCUACGGGAGGCAGCAUG
Molecule: ribosomal RNA, 237 nt
Filed under: uncultured bacterium
Lineage: Bacteria
Description: partial 16S ribosomal RNA
Rfam family: Bacterial small subunit ribosomal RNA
Source: RNAcentral